AGUGUACGCUGGCGGUAGGCCUAACACAUGCAAGUCGAACGGCAGCACAGUAAGAGCUUGCUCUUACGGGUGGCGAGUGGCGGACGGGUGAGGAAUACAUCGGAAUCUACUUUUUCGUGGGGGAUAACGUAGGGAAACUUACGCUAAUGCCGCAUACGACCUACGGGUGAAAGCAGGGGAUCUUCGGACCUUGCGCGAUUGAAUGAGCCGAUGUCGGAUUAGCUAGUUGGCGGGGUAAAGGCCCACCAAGGCGACGAUCCGUAGCUGGUCUGAGAGGAUGAUCAGCCACACUGGAACUGAGACACGGUCCAGACUCCUACGGGAGGCAGCAGUGGGGAAUAUUGGACAAUGGGCGCAAGCCUGAUCCAGCCAUACCGCGUGGGUGAAGAAGGCCUUCGGGUUGUAAAGCCCUUUUGUUGGGAAAGAAAAGCAGCAGGUUAAUACCCCGCUGUUCUGACGGUACCCAAAGAAUAAGCACCGGCUAACUUCGUG
This 492-nucleotide ribosomal RNA is filed under the name uncultured bacterium. RNAcentral describes it as "partial 16S ribosomal RNA". It matches the Rfam family "Bacterial small subunit ribosomal RNA", at positions 29 to 507 of the family's 1533-position model. The record is from RNAcentral.